Molecule: ribosomal RNA, 1567 nt
Filed under: Triticum aestivum (bread wheat)
Lineage: Eukaryota; Viridiplantae; Streptophyta; Magnoliopsida; Poales; Poaceae
Description: partial small subunit ribosomal RNA
Source: RNAcentral
UACGACCAGGACCAGUCGACGAGACCGUUCGCUGAGGGCAGGGCACAACCAGGUCGAGGCGCAUGGGACACAGUCAGGCGACGCUAAAGCGGCGGGCACACAGCGGAUGCCGGAUGCCCGUUCUCACCUCCGCUAAACCCCGUCCACCACUUCGGUGGCUGCCACCGCAGAAGGGACGGCAGUUCGCUCCCGCCACCGCCGCCGUGUCAUGCUGUACCUUAGGUCUACCCAAUAUGGCGAACACCAAUAAAACGAACGUAACGUUUAAGUGGGGCAAGCGACAGCCGUUCUCGGUCGCGAAAGUGGCACAUUGAGGUGUGAACAAUAACGGUUCAUGGGGACACUAUUGUGGUGGUAUCAAACGAGGGCUUACCUUAGGUGCUUCCUGGUCGAACAGGGAACCGAUAGAAAGUGACACAGGAAGCAUUAUAAUAAGACGGGUAAGAACGCAUAGUUUCUCAACUUCGGGUUAGGUGCUUGACUACGCGUUUGGAAGAAAACCACCAAAAACAAACAACCAAAAGACCUAAUAUAAGAGACCUAGACCAUAAAACUCCUUACGAGACUAGGUGUAAUAAGUCGUAUAGGACACAAUGACUGGACGACAAAACCCACGCCAUAUGUGGACUAGAAGAGAGAAUAUCGAUGUCAUUACUGAACCUUAAGACCCCUAGUCGCUCAUGCUACCCCGUAAUAUGAAUGUAAGAACCAGAAACAGCCACCACCUUAAAAAGUAUUUUAUGUUUCUGUUCGGGAACCGACCUACCCUCAUCGUGAUUCACACGACAGAGUAAGAAAGGCAUAACCUAGUUGCCACAUGAUGCGGUUCUAAUUAGCCAUAGACAAACAACGGAGGUACCACCCCAGUCAUUUACCUAAGAACACCGAAUAGGUAGGAGUCGAUACGUAAAGUUUCCUUAUGUUCUUAAUACAGUGGUAGAGGAACUACCAUUGGCCACUGGGGGGUUGAAGCACCGCAUAAUUCUACUUAAGCAACCACUAAUUUCACCACUAAAUCUAACUUUGUGUGAAUAGUGGUUUAGAACAAAGUGACCUAGUUACACGUUCUUUCUCUAUAUAAGUUCACAUUGAUCGAGCCACGAGCACCAACGAUGCCUUAGUGUUUAUUCGACUCAAUCUGUGCACCGUACCUUCUAGUUACCUUUUCGUAUUCACAUCAUACUGGCGAAGUACCCAUGUUACUUUUUUUUCUCUGUUCCUCCGUCAAGGUCCGUCACUGAUUUUGUUAGUACCCAUCCCAAACUUCUAAAUUUAGAUGUACUUUGAUUUUAAAACUCUACGACUUCCUAUCCGUGUACCUUCUUUAUGCUGCGUUCCUUUUGCUAACCCUUUCUUCCUUCCAUCCGGGUUGUUCUUACUUCUCACUCCUCACUUUAGUGGGGGUCAAGGUCAGAAAUAUUCAUCCUUUCUGUUAAUAACGAUUCUUGAGUAAAAAUAAAAACAUAUACUACUACAUUAGUAAUUUAAUCGAACUGGAAUACUUAGACGAAGUACAAAUGAAUGCACAAUAUUAUUAGUCCUUAGUCCUUAAACCUCGUUGUUUGUG